Molecule: ribosomal RNA, 429 nt
Filed under: Chloroflexota bacterium
Lineage: Bacteria; Bacillati; Chloroflexota
Description: Chloroflexi bacterium partial 16S ribosomal RNA
Rfam family: Bacterial small subunit ribosomal RNA
Source: RNAcentral
UGGGGAAUAUUGCACAAUGGGCGCAAGCCUGAUGCAGCCAUGCCGCGUGUAUGAAGAAGGCCUUCGGGUUGUAAAGUACUUUCAGCGGGGAGGAAGGUGGUAAGGUUAAUAACCUUAUCAAUUGACGUUACCGACAGAAGAAGCACCGGCUAACUCCGUGCCAGCAGCCGCGGUAAUACGGAGGGUGCAAGCGUUAAUCGGAAUUACUGGGCGUAAAGCGCACGCAGGCGGUUGAUUGAGUCAGAUGUGAAAUCCCCGGGCUUAACCCGGGAAUUGCAUCUGAUACUGGUCAGCUAGAGUCUUGUAGAGGGGGGUAGAAUUCCAUGUGUAGCGAUGAAAUGCGUAGAGAUGUGGAGGAAUACCGGUGGCGAAGGCGGCCCCCUGGACAAAGACUGACGCUCAGGUGCGAAAGCGUGGGGAGCAAACAGG